GAUGAACGCUGGCGGCGUGCCUAAUACAUGCAAGUCGAGCGAACGGACGAGAAGCUUGCUUCUCUGAUGUUAGCGGCGGACGGGUGAGUAACACGUGGAUAACCUACCUAUAAGACUGGGAUAACUUCGGGAAACCGGAGCUAAUACCGGAUAAUAUUUUGAACCGCAUGGUUCAAAAGUGAAAGACGGUCUUGCUGUCACUUAUAGAUGGAUCCGCGCUGCAUUAGCUAGUUGGUAAGGUAACGGCUUACCAAGGCAACGAUGCAUAGCCGACCUGAGAGGGUGAUCGGCCACACUGGAACUGAGACACGGUCCAGACUCCUACGGGAGGCAGCAGUAGGGAAUCUUCCGCAAUGGGCGAAAGCCUGACGGAGCAACGCCGCGUGAGUGAUGAAGGUCUUCGGAUCGUAAAACUCUGUUAUUAGGGAAGAACAUAUGUGUAAGUAACUGUGCACAUCUUGACGGUACCUAAUCAGAAAGCCACGGCUAACUACGUGCCAGCAGCCGCGGUAAUACGUAGGUGGCAAGCGUUAUCCGGAAUUAUUGGGCGUAAAGCGCGCGUAGGCGGUUUUUUAAGUCUGAUGUGAAAGCCCACGGCUCAACCGUGGAGGGUCAUUGGAAACUGGAAAACUUGAGUGCAGAAGAGGAAAGUGGAAUUCCAUGUGUAGCGGUGAAAUGCGCAGAGAUAUGGAGGAACACCAGUGGCGAAGGCAACUUUCUGGUCUGUAACUGACGCUGAUGUGCGAAAGCGUGGGGAUCAAACAGGAUUAGAUACCCUGGUAGUCCACGCCGUAAACGAUGAGUGCUAAGUGUUAGGGGGUUUCCGCCCCUUAGUGCUGCAGCUAACGCAUUAAGCACUCCGCCUGGGGAGUACGACCGCAAGGUUGAAACUCAAAGGAAUUGACGGGGACCCGCACAAGCGGUGGAGCAUGUGGUUUAAUUCGAAGCAACGCGAAGAACCUUACCAAAUCUUGACAUCCUUUGACAACUCUAGAGAUAGAGCCUUCCCCUUCGGGGGACAAAGUGACAGGUGGUGCAUGGUUGUCGUCAGCUCGUGUCGUGAGAUGUUGGGUUAAGUCCCGCAACGAGCGCAACCCUUAAGCUUAGUUGCCAUCAUUAAGUUGGGCACUCUAAGUUGACUGCCGGUGACAAACCGGAGGAAGGUGGGGAUGACGUCAAAUCAUCAUGCCCCUUAUGAUUUGGGCUACACACGUGCUACAAUGGACAAUACAAAGGGCAGCGAAACCGCGAGGUCAAGCAAAUCCCAUAAAGUUGUUCUCAGUUCGGAUUGUAGUCUGCAACUCGACUACAUGAAGCUGGAACCGCUAGUAAUCGUAGAUCAGCAUGCUACGGUGAAUACGUUCCCGGGUCU
Molecule: ribosomal RNA, 1372 nt
Filed under: uncultured bacterium
Lineage: Bacteria
Description: bacterial SSU rRNA
Rfam family: Bacterial small subunit ribosomal RNA
Source: RNAcentral